Molecule: ribosomal RNA, 215 nt
Filed under: uncultured bacterium
Lineage: Bacteria
Description: partial 16S ribosomal RNA
Rfam family: Bacterial small subunit ribosomal RNA
Source: RNAcentral
UACGAAGGGUGCAAGCGUUACUCGGAAUUACGUGGCGUAAAGCGCACGUAGGCGGAUCUUUAAGUCAGGGUGAAUACCAACGGCUCAACCUUGGGAACUGACCUUUGAUACUGGGGAUCUCGAGUCCGGAAGAGGUUGGUGGAACUGCGAGUGUAGAGGUAGAAAUUCGUAGAUAUUCGCAAGAACACCAGUGGCGAAGGCGGCCAACUGUCCGG